RNAcentral lists this ribosomal RNA (420 nucleotides) under bacterium. RNAcentral's name for it is "partial 16S ribosomal RNA". It matches the Rfam family "Bacterial small subunit ribosomal RNA", at positions 355 to 776 of the family's 1533-position model. RNAcentral also lists the same sequence under 1 other name. The record is from RNAcentral.
UGGGGGAUAUUGCACAAUGGGCGAAAGCCUGAUGCAGCGACGCCGCGUGGGGGAUGAAGGCUUUCGGGUUGUAAACCUCUUUCGCUAUCGAACAAGGCCCGCUUAGGGUGGGUUGAGGGUAGGUGGAGAUGAAGCGCCGGCUAACUACGUGCCAGCAGCCGCGGUAAUACGUAGGGCGCGAGCGUUGUCCGGAAUUAUUGGGCGUAAAGGGCUUGUAGGCGGCUUGUUGCGCCUGCUGUGAAAACGCGGGGCUUAACUUCGCGCGUGCAGUGGGUACGGGCAGGCUUGAGUGUGGUAGGGGUGACUGGAAUUCCAGGUGUAGCGGUGGAAUGCGCAGAUAUCUGGAGGAACACCGAUGGCGAAGGCAGGUCACUGGGCCAUUACUGACGCUGAGGAGCGAAAGCAUGGGUAGCGAACAGG